Molecule: ribosomal RNA, 494 nt
Filed under: uncultured bacterium
Lineage: Bacteria
Description: partial 16S ribosomal RNA
Rfam family: Bacterial small subunit ribosomal RNA
Source: RNAcentral
GACGAACGCUGGCGGCGCGCUUAACACAUGCAAGUCGAACGGAAAGGCCUGCUUUCCCUUGUGGAUUGCGGGUACUCGAGUGGCGAACGGGUGAGUAACACGUGAGUGAUCUGCCCCCAACUUGGGUAUAAGCCUGGGAAACUGGGUCUAAUUCCCGAUAGGACUGCAGGGUGGUGCCUGUGGUGGAAAACGAUUUUCUAGUGGUUGGGGAUGAGCUCGCGGCCUAUCAGCUUGUUGGUGGGGUAAUGGCCUACCAAGGCGGCGACGGGUAGCCAGCCUGAGAGGGUGGACGGGCACAUUGGGACUGAGAUACGGCCCAGACUCCUACGGGAGGCAGCAGUGGGGAAUAUUGCACAAUGGGCGGAAGCCUGAUGCAGCGACGCCGCGUGGGGGAUGACGGCCUUCGGGUUGUAAACUCCUUUCGACCGCGAGGAAGCCACCUGGUUGGAAGGGUGGUGACGGUAGUGGUAGAAGAAGCACCGGCUAACUACGUG